UUCAACUUUCUAGUCCAGUGACAGGCUCAUGGGCAGCAUCAGGAGAUGGUGUCUGCUCUUGCUUCUGCCCAAACAAGGAAGUCCCCUUCCUUAAGGAAAAUGCUUAAGACUGCCCAUGGCUCUGUAAAUGUGAUGUGAAAUAAAAUAAACAUAAAUAAGCCCUUGUA
Passer domesticus (house sparrow) is the source of this 167-nucleotide long non-coding RNA. RefSeq lists it as uncharacterized. The transcript has 2 exons. The record is from RefSeq and is a predicted model, not a curated record. NCBI's taxonomy places the organism in Eukaryota, Metazoa, Chordata, Aves, Passeriformes, Passeridae.